Molecule: ribosomal RNA, 492 nt
Filed under: uncultured bacterium
Lineage: Bacteria
Description: partial 16S ribosomal RNA
Rfam family: Bacterial small subunit ribosomal RNA
Source: RNAcentral
AGUGAACGCUGGCGGUAGGCCUAACACAUGCAAGUCGAACGGCAGCACAGUAAGAGCUUGCCCUUACGGGUGGCGAGUGGCGGACGGGUGAGGAAUACAUCGGAAUCUACUUUUACGUGGGGGAUAACGUAGGGAAACUUACGAUAAUACCGCAUACGACCUACGGGUGAAAGCAGGAGAUCUUCGGACCUUGCGCGAUUGAAUGAGCCGAUGUCGGAUUAGCUAGUUGGCGGGGUAAAGGCCCACCAAGGCGACGAUCCGUAGCUGGUCUGAGAGGAUGAUCAGCCACACUGGAACUGAGACACGGUCCAGACUCCUACGGGAGGCAGCAGUGGGGAAUAUUGGACAAUGGGCGCAAGCCUGAUCCAGCCAUGCCGCGUGAGUGAAGAAGGCCUUCGGGUUGUAAAGCCCUUUUGUUGGGAAAGAAAAGCAGCAGGUUAAUACCCCGCUGUUCUGACGGUACCCAAAGAAUAAGCACCGGCUAACUUCGUG